CAGCAGCCGCGGGAAUACGUAGGUCCCGAGCGUUGUCCGGAUUUAUUGGGCGUAAAGCGAGCGCGGGCGGUUAGAUAAGUCUGAAGUUAAAGGCUGUGGCUUAACCAUAGUACGCUUUGGAAACUGUUUAACUUGAGUGCAAGAGGGGAGAGUGGAAUUCCAUGUGUAGCGGUGAAAUGCGUAGAUAUAUGGAGGAACACCGGUGGCGAAAGCGGCUCUCUGGCUUGUAACUGACGCUGAGGCUCGAAAGCGUGGGGAGCAAACAGGAUUAGAUACCCCCGUAGUCCCUGUCUCUUAUACA
RNAcentral lists this ribosomal RNA (301 nucleotides) under uncultured bacterium. RNAcentral describes it as "partial 16S ribosomal RNA". It matches the Rfam family "Bacterial small subunit ribosomal RNA", at positions 509 to 808 of the family's 1533-position model. The record is from RNAcentral.